This 429-nucleotide ribosomal RNA is filed under the name Gemmatimonadota bacterium. RNAcentral's name for it is "Gemmatimonadetes bacterium partial 16S ribosomal RNA". It matches the Rfam family "Bacterial small subunit ribosomal RNA", at positions 355 to 776 of the family's 1533-position model. The record is from RNAcentral. Lineage: Bacteria; Pseudomonadati; Gemmatimonadota.
UAGGGAAUCUUCGGCAAUGGACGAAAGUCUGACCGAGCAACGCCGCGUGAGUGAAGAAGGUUUUCGGAUCGUAAAACUCUGUUGUUAGAGAAGAACAAGGACGUUAGUAACUGAACGUCCCCUGACGGUAUCUAACCAGAAAGCCACGGCUAACUACGUGCCAGCAGCCGCGGUAAUACGUAGGUGGCAAGCGUUGUCCGGAUUUAUUGGGCGUAAAGCGAGCGCAGGCGGUUUCUUAAGUCUGAUGUGAAAGCCCCCGGCUCAACCGGGGAGGGUCAUUGGAAACUGGGAGACUUGAGUGCAGAAGAGGAGAGUGGAAUUCGAUGUGUAGCGGUGAAAUGCGUAGAUAUAUGGAGGAACACCAGUGGCGAAGGCGGCUCGCUGGUCUGUAACUGACGCUGAGGCUCGAAAGCGUGGGGAGCAAACAGG